Molecule: ribosomal RNA, 462 nt
Filed under: uncultured bacterium
Lineage: Bacteria
Description: SSU rRNA
Rfam family: Bacterial small subunit ribosomal RNA
Source: RNAcentral
AGAAUCAACGCUGGCGGCGUGCCUAACACAUGCAAGUCGCACGAGAAAGGGGAGCAAUCCCUGAGUAAAGUGGCGCACGGGUGAGUAACACGUGAAUAAUCUACCUCCGAGUGGGGAAUAACUGAGAGAAAUCUUAGCUAAUACCGCAUAACACUUACGAGUCAAAGCAGCAAUGCGCUUGGAGAGGAGUUCGCGGCCGAUUAGUUAGUUGGCGGGGUAAUGGCCCACCAAGACGAUGAUCGGUAUCCGGCCUGAGAGGGCGCGACGGACGACGACUGGAACUGAAACACGGUCCAGACUCCUACGGAGGCAGCAGUGGGGAAUUUUGCGCAAUGGGGGAAACCCUGACGCAGCAACGCCGCGUGGAGGAUGAAGCCCCUUGGGGUGUAAACUCCUUUCGAUCGGGAAGAUAAUGACGGUACCGAUAUAAGAAGCCCCGGCUAACUUCGUGCCAGCAGCCGC